RNAcentral lists this ribosomal RNA (428 nucleotides) under uncultured bacterium. RNAcentral's name for it is "bacterial SSU rRNA". It matches the Rfam family "Bacterial small subunit ribosomal RNA", at positions 355 to 796 of the family's 1533-position model. The record is from RNAcentral.
ACGAGAAUAUUCCGCAAUGGGCGAAAGCCUGACGGAGCGACGUCGCGUGGUUGAUGAAGUCCUUAGGGAUGUAAAAACCUUUUGUGAGGGAGAAAGUAAUUGAUAGUACCUCAAGAAUAAGGGGUUGCUAAACUCGUGCCAGCAGCAGCGGUAAUACGAGUGCCCCAAGCGUUAUCCGGAAUCAUUGGGCGUAAAGGGUGUGUAGGCGGCAUGGUUAGUCUCUUGUCAAAGCUCCUGGCUUAACCGGGAAAAUGCAAGGGAAACGGCCAUUGCUAGAGGAUGUGAGAGGUGAAUGGAACUCAUGGUGUAGGGGUGAAAUCCGUUGAUAUCAUGGGGAACACCAAAAGCGAAGGCAAUUCACUGGCGCAUUCCUGACGCUGAAACACGAAAGCGUGGGUAGCGAAUGGGAUUAGAUACCCCCGUAGUCC